This 451-nucleotide long non-coding RNA is filed under the name Equus asinus (donkey). RNAcentral describes it as "lncRNA (ENSEASG00005036918.1)". The record is from RNAcentral. Lineage: Eukaryota; Metazoa; Chordata; Mammalia; Perissodactyla; Equidae.
GUUGUGGGUCCUUCUAGUUGUGGCAUGUGGGACGCUGCCUCAGCGUGGUUUGAUGAGCAGUGCCAUGUCCGCGCCCAGGAUUCGAACCAACGAAACACUGGGCCGCCUGCAGCAGAGCGCGCGAACUUAACCACUCGGCCACGGGGCCAGCCCCGUGAUUCAGUAUUCUUAACUGGAAUGCUCAUCCGCGGUGACGUGCUUGCUGGGAGAGAAUCCAUUACCAUUUCCCAAAGGCUGCGUCGGAGGCUCAGGUUCUAACACUGGAAUUCUUUCAAGUCUGUCUGCUGUUGGCAGAUCUAACGUAAAGGCUCUUAUAUCUGCUCUGGGGAGCUCAGCCUCCAACCAGCUAAGAUACUGGGAAGAAAGCAAAUAUUUAUCCUUGGACAUUUUUCAUGGAAAUCAAAUUAAUUUUUCCUCUCGAUUUUCUUUAUGUUGGUAUUCAGUUUAUGGC